GAUGAACGCUGGCGGCGUGCCUAAUACAUGCAAGUCGAGCGAACAGAUGAGGAGCUUGCUCCUCUGACGUUAGCGGCGGACGGGUGAGUAACACGUGGAUAACCUACCUAUAAGACUGGGAUAACUUCGGGAAACCGAAGCUAAUACCGGAUAAUAUAUUGAACCGCAUGGUUCAAUAGUGAAAGACGGUUUUGCUGUCACUUAUAGAUGGAUCCGCGCCGCAUUAGCUAGUUGGUAAGGUAACGGCUUACCAAGGCAACGAUGCGUAGCCGACCUGAGAGGGUGAUCGGCCACACUGGAGCUGAGACACGGUCCAGACUCCUACGGGAGGCAGCAGUAGGGAAUCUUCCGCAAUGGGCGAAAGCCUGACGGAGCAACGCCGCGUGAGUGAUGAAGGUCUUCGGAUCGUAAAACUCUGUUAUUAGGGAAGAACAAAUGUGUAAGUAACUAUGCACGUCUUGACGGUACCUAAUCAGAAAGCCACGGCUAACUACGUG
RNAcentral lists this ribosomal RNA (497 nucleotides) under uncultured bacterium. RNAcentral's name for it is "partial 16S ribosomal RNA". It matches the Rfam family "Bacterial small subunit ribosomal RNA", at positions 28 to 507 of the family's 1533-position model. The record is from RNAcentral.